This 157-nucleotide ribosomal RNA is filed under the name Claviceps purpurea (ergot fungus). Its description in RNAcentral is "5.8S ribosomal RNA". It matches the Rfam family "5.8S ribosomal RNA". From Rfam's summary of the family: 5.8S ribosomal RNA (5.8S rRNA) is a component of the large subunit of the eukaryotic ribosome. Lineage: Eukaryota; Fungi; Ascomycota; Sordariomycetes; Hypocreales; Clavicipitaceae. RNAcentral also lists the same sequence under 1 other name. The record is from RNAcentral.
AACUUUCAACAACGGAUCUCUUGGUUCUGGCAUCGAUGAAGAACGCAGCGAAAUGCGAUACGUAAUGUGAAUUGCAGAAUUCAGUGAAUCAUCGAAUCUUUGAACGCACAUUGCGCCCGCCAGUAUUCUGGCGGGCAUGCCUGUUCGAGCGUCAUUU